AAAUGGCCAAACCACGUGAUCUGUGGGAGGUGAGUCCUCAGACUCUGGAGGCCUCUGAAGUACAGAUGAACAGAGUACCUGGACCUGCUCUGGAGGGUCUCACCUGGAUCUGAGAAAAACGCAGAUGAGGUGAGAUGAAUCAUCACAUCAGAGAGAUGAGGCAAAUUCCCCCAGGCCACGUGGCCAGUGAUGACGAUGAUGAUACAGCUGACAUUUAAGCACCUGCUUGUGCCAGGCAUGGCUCUAACCACUUCACAUACAUUAACUCCUUUAAUCUUAACAGUCACUCCUGACAAGAGCAGGAGCCACCCCCACCUCCAGGUCCCUGGUGAGAAGCACCAUGGGGAGCAUUACCCCUCUGCAGACUGGCACAACUUCUGGGACAACCUCCAUGGUCAUAUGAAGUCCAUGAAGAAUUGAGAUGUUUCCUAAGAAGGGAGGAUAUCCACUGAGGACUGAGGCGAAUGAAAGGAGAACAGGCGUAGAAAAUGCCCAUGGUGAUGACAAAGUGUGUUAGUUGCCUGUUGCCAUGUAACAAAUUGUU
Molecule: long non-coding RNA, 544 nt
Organism: Ailuropoda melanoleuca (giant panda)
Lineage: Eukaryota; Metazoa; Chordata; Mammalia; Carnivora; Ursidae
Exons: 3
Source: RefSeq, a predicted model, not a curated record